This is a long non-coding RNA of Thalassophryne amazonica, 95 nucleotides long. RefSeq lists it as uncharacterized. The transcript has 3 exons. NCBI's taxonomy places the organism in Eukaryota, Metazoa, Chordata, Actinopteri, Batrachoidiformes, Batrachoididae. The record is from RefSeq and is a predicted model, not a curated record.
ACAUGAAGAGCUGUUUUAGGAUGAAGUUGGGAAGAAAAGGUGGACUAAUUUCUGAUGUGAUUUUUCGCUGGACUGAGGAAACGGCAGGCUGUACA